Medicago truncatula (barrel medic) is the source of this 169-nucleotide microRNA precursor. It matches the Rfam family "MIR2619 microRNA precursor family". The record is from Rfam. Lineage: Eukaryota; Viridiplantae; Streptophyta; Magnoliopsida; Fabales; Fabaceae.
AAACAGCCCCCUAUGUUUGGAUUCUUUGGCAAUUUUGGACCCCCAAGGCAAAAAAAAAUAAAUUAUUGACACGUGACACCUCACUUAGGGUGCCACGUCAGCGUUGACCGAGUCAACAAUGGACUGGGGGUCCAAAACUGCCAAAGAAUCAAAACAUAGGGGGCUGAUU